CUCUGCACGAAUUUUUUUUCAAGACUAUUUCUACUUCGCUGUUUGCUUGCACGAUUUUUUUUUCUCUGACGUAAUGGCUGCACGAAUUUUUUUUCCAAGCAUUUUCCUUUGCACGAAUUUUUUUUUUUGAAUUUUCAACCCCCCUCCCGGGAUUUCUAAUGGUCCGCCCCUUAAAUUUCCGUUACAGGUGUAUUGUCAGCUACAGAGUACAGUCGUAUCUACAUUUAAUUGGCAGAUCAGUAGAAAAUUUGCAAGUAGAUUUUAACAAUAUAAUAUAAUUGUCGCCCACACCAGGAUGCUGUUGUGACUCAUGUUGACACAAACAAAAUUUGAACUUUUUGGUGCGAUUAGACAG
Non-coding RNA from Paramuricea clavata, 355 nucleotides. NCBI's taxonomy places the organism in Eukaryota, Metazoa, Cnidaria, Anthozoa, Malacalcyonacea, Plexauridae. The record is from the annotation of a GenBank genome assembly.